Molecule: ribosomal RNA, 741 nt
Filed under: uncultured bacterium
Lineage: Bacteria
Description: bacterial SSU rRNA
Rfam family: Bacterial small subunit ribosomal RNA
Source: RNAcentral
AGUAGAGUGGCGCACGGGUGAGUAACACGUGGAUAAUCUGCCCUUGAGUUGGGGAUAACCAGCCGAAAGGCUGGCUAAUACCGAAUGACAUUGCCAAUCAUAAGAUAGGUAAUUAAAGGUUUACCGCUUGAGGAUGAGUCCGCGUCCCAUUAGCUAGUUGGUAGGGUAAUGGCCUACCAAGGCAACGAUUGGUAGCUGGUCUGAGAGGAUGAUCAGUCACACUGGAACUGGAACACGGUCCAGACCCCUACGGGAGGCAGCAGUGGGGAAUAUUGCGCAAUGGGGGAAACCCUGACGCAGCGACGCCGCGUGGGUGAGGAAGGUUUUAGGAUCGUAAAGCCCUGUCAAGUGGGAAGAAACAAAUGACGGUACCACUAAAGGAAGCACCGGCUAACUCCGUGCCAGCAGCCGCGGUAAUACGGAGGGUGCAAGCGUUGUUCGGAUUUAUUGGGCGUAAAGAGCAUGUAGGCGGUUUGUUAAGUCAGAAGUGAAAGCCCCGGGCUCAACCUGGGAAGUGCUUUUGAUACUGGCAGACUUGAAUACGGGAGAGGGUAGUGGAAUUCCAAGUGUAGAGGUGAAAUUCGUAGAUAUUUGGAGGAACACCAGUGGCGAAGGCGGCUACCUGGACCGAUAUUGACGCUGAGAUGCGAAAGCGUGGGGAGCAAACAGGAUUAGAUACCCUGGUAGCCCACGCCCUAAACGAUGAGUACUAGAUGCUGCGGGCUUGACCUGCAGUGUCGC